AGCAGUCGCCGCGGUAAUACGGAGGGUGCAAGCGUCAAUCGGAAUUACUGGGCGUAAAGCGCAGGCAAGCGGUUUGUUAAGUCAGAUGUGAAAUCCCCGAGCUUAACUUGGGAACUGCAUUUGAAACUGGCAAGCUAGAGUCUUGUAGAGGGGGGUAGAAUUCCAGGUGUAGCGGUGAAAUGCGUAGAGAUCUGGAGGAAUACCGGUGGCGAAGGCGGCCCCCUGGACAAAGACUGACGCUCAGGUGCGAAAGCGUGGGGAGCAAACAGGAUUAGAUACCCGCGUAGUCCCUGUCUCUUAUAC
Molecule: ribosomal RNA, 303 nt
Filed under: uncultured bacterium
Lineage: Bacteria
Description: partial 16S ribosomal RNA
Rfam family: Bacterial small subunit ribosomal RNA
Source: RNAcentral